This is a microRNA precursor of Equus asinus (donkey), 133 nucleotides long. The record is from Ensembl. Lineage: Eukaryota; Metazoa; Chordata; Mammalia; Perissodactyla; Equidae.
GCUGAGCCUUGGAGCCUGUGGUGGGGGAGCGGGGGAGGACGGGAGGGGAGGAGGGCGUGGUUUUAUGCAGCUCCUCACUCCUCUCCUCCCGUCUUCUUCUUCUUCCUCCCAUUCCUGCCUGUCUCGGCGGCUC